GCGACGCCGCGUGAGGGAUGAAGGCCUUCGGGUUGUAAACCUCUUUCAGCAGGGACGAAGCGAAAGUGACGGUACCUGCAGAAGAAGGGCCGGCCAACUACGUGCCACCCGCCGCGGUAACGGUAAGACGUAGGGCGCGAGCGUUGUCCGGAAUUAUUGGGCGUAAAGAGCUCGUAGGCGGCUUGUUGCGUCGGCUGUGAAAACCCGCGGC
Molecule: ribosomal RNA, 211 nt
Filed under: uncultured actinomycete
Lineage: Bacteria; Bacillati; Actinomycetota; Actinomycetes; Actinomycetales
Description: partial 16S ribosomal RNA
Rfam family: Bacterial small subunit ribosomal RNA
Source: RNAcentral